AGUUCGAUUAUGGCUCAGAUUGAACGCUGGCGGGAUGGGCCUUUACACAUGCAAGUCGAACGGCAGCACGGACUUCCGGUCUGGUGGCGAGUGGCGAACGGGUGAGUAAUGUAUCGGAACGUGCCUGGCGGGGGAUAACUACGCGAAAGCGUAGCUAAUACCGCAUACGCCCUUCGGGGAAAGCGGGGGACCUUCGGGCCUCGCACUAUUAGAGCAGCCGAUAUCGGAUUAGCUAGUUGGUGGGGUAACGGCUCACCAAGGCGACGAUCCGUAGCUGGUUUGAGAGGACGACCAGCCACACUGGGACUGAGACACAGCCCAGACUCCUACAGGGAGGCAGCAGUGGGAAUUUUGGACAAUGGGGAAACCCUGAUCCAGCCAUCCCGCGUGUGCGAUGAAGGCCUUCCGGGUUGUAAAGCACUUUUGGCAGAAGAAACGGCACGGGAUAAUACCCCGUGCAACUGACGGUACCUGCAGAAUAAGCACCGGCUAACUACGUGCCAACAGCCGCGAGUAAUGCGUGAGGUGCAAGCGUUAAUCAAAUUACUGGGCGUAAAGCGUGCGCAGGCGGUUCGGAAAGAAAGAUGUGAAAUCCCAGAGCUUAACUUUGGAACUGCAUUUUUAACUACCGAGCUAGAGGUGUGUCAGAGGGAGGUGGAAUUCCGCGUGUAGCAGUGAAAUGCGUAGAUAUGCGGAGGAACACCGAUGGCGAAGGCAGCCUCCUGGGAUAACACUGACGCUCAUGCACGAAAAAACGUGGGGGCAAACGGGAUUAGAUACCCCUGGUAGUCCGCCUAAACGAUGUCAACUAGCUGUUGGGGCCUUCGGGCCUUGGUAGCGCAGCUAACGCGUAGAAGUUGACCGCCUGGGGAGUACGGUCGCAAGAUUAAAACUCAAGGAAUUGACGGGGACCCGCACAAGCGGUGGAUGAUGUGGAUUAAUUCGAUGCAACGCGAAAAACCUUACCUACCCUUGACAUGUCUGGAAUCCCGAAGAGAUUUGGGAGUGCUCGCAAGAGAACCGGAACACAGGUGCUGCAUGGCUGUCGUCAGCUCGUGUCGUGAGAUGUUGGGUUAAGUCCCGCAACGAGCGCAACCCUUGUCAUUAGUUGCUGCGAAGGGCACUCUAGUAGGACUGCCGGUGACAAACCGGAGGAAGGUGGGGAUGACGUCAGAGUCCUCAUGGCCCUUAUGGGUAGGGCUUCACACGUCAUACAAUGGUCGGGACAGAGGGUCGCCAACCCCGCGAGGGGAGCCAAUCCCAGAAACGAUCGUAGUCCGGAUCGCAGUCUGCAACUCGACUGCGUGAAGUCGGAAUCGCUAGUAAUCGCGGAUCAGCAUGUCGCGGUGAAUACGUUCCGGGUCUUGUACACACCGCCCGUCACACCAUGGGAAUUGGGUUUACCAGAAGUAGUUGGCCUAACCGUAAGGAGGGCGAUUACCAAGGUAGGAUUCAUGACUGGGGUGAAGUCGUAACAAGGUAG
RNAcentral lists this ribosomal RNA (1483 nucleotides) under uncultured Bordetella sp. RNAcentral's name for it is "partial 16S-23S ribosomal RNA intergenic spacer". It matches the Rfam family "Bacterial small subunit ribosomal RNA". Lineage: Bacteria; Pseudomonadati; Pseudomonadota; Betaproteobacteria; Burkholderiales; Alcaligenaceae. The record is from RNAcentral.